The sequence is a transfer RNA, 74 nucleotides long. It matches the Rfam family "tRNA". Rfam says of the family: Transfer RNA (tRNA) molecules are approximately 80 nucleotides in length. Their secondary structure includes four short double-helical elements and three loops (D, anti-codon, and T loops). Further hydrogen bonds mediate the characteristic L-shaped molecular structure. tRNAs have two regions of fundamental functional importance: the anti-codon, which is responsible for specific mRNA codon recognition, and the 3' end, to which the tRNAs corresponding amino acid is attached (by aminoacyl-tRNA synthetases). tRNAs cope with the degeneracy of the genetic code in two manners: having more than one tRNA (with a specific anti-codon) for a particular amino acid; and 'wobble' base-pairing, i.e. permitting non-standard base-pairing at the 3rd anti-codon position.
AGCCCUGUAGUCUAGAGGUUUGUUGCAGCUUGCCUGCAAACCGGGUGACCCAGGUUCGAAUCCUGGCAGGGCUA